This 100-nucleotide small nuclear RNA is filed under the name Myotis davidii. The record is from RNAcentral. Lineage: Eukaryota; Metazoa; Chordata; Mammalia; Chiroptera; Vespertilionidae.
GUGCUCAUAUCAGCAGCACAUAUACUAAAACUGGAACAAUACAGAGAAGAUUCACAUGGCCCCUGUGCAAGGAUGACAUGCAAAUUCAUUCCAUAUUUUU